GGAGAGAUGCCGGAGUCUGGUUGAUCGGGGCGGUCUCGAAAACCGUUGCACCCUUGCGGGUGCCGGGAGUUCGAAUCUCCCUCUCUCCACCA
Molecule: transfer RNA, 92 nt
Filed under: Candidatus Omnitrophota bacterium
Lineage: Bacteria; Pseudomonadati; Candidatus Omnitrophota
Description: tRNA-Ser
Rfam family: tRNA
About the family: Transfer RNA (tRNA) molecules are approximately 80 nucleotides in length. Their secondary structure includes four short double-helical elements and three loops (D, anti-codon, and T loops).
Source: RNAcentral